Non-coding RNA from Microcebus murinus (gray mouse lemur), 2915 nucleotides. The record is from RefSeq and is a predicted model, not a curated record. Lineage: Eukaryota; Metazoa; Chordata; Mammalia; Primates; Cheirogaleidae.
UAGUUAUAGAUCUGUUUAGAUGUUUUAUUUCUUCAUGAUUCAUGGUAGGUUAUUCAAAAUGUAUUUUAUGGGGAGAGUCUGCAAAAUUUACUUAUGGGUUAGGAUGAGGGAAAAGAGAGAAUGGGUGAUAAUUAAUGUUUUUGUCUUAAGCAACUAGCUACAUGAUGGUGCAGGAACCAGGAUAAAGAUUAAAGUAGAAAUGGGAGAAACUCAAGAGUUGGGCUUUAGAUAUUUUAGACUAGAGAUGCUUAUAAGAUACCCAGUGGCAGCUACACAUACAGUUCCAGAGCUCAGACAUGCCUGAGCUAGAGCAGAGGGAAAGAGGUUAUAAGGGUAUACUCUUAGAGCACAGAGAGGAAGGGGUAGUGACUGAAACAUGGUGUUCACCAAGAGAUAAAAACAGAUAAUAAACCCAGAAUACCUUCCUAGAGCCAGACCAUGGUGAUAGGCUCUGAAAUUUGGGUUUUAUUCUCUGUAAAGUGAAAUUACAGAAAAAUUUCUUUUUUUCCUUUUAAAUGGCAGAGUCAUUUACUCAUGGCUAUUAAUUUCUGAUUUUAAAAGUAAUAUACAUCCAUUGAGAAAAAAAACUAAAAAAUAAAGAAAAGUAUAAAGAAUAAAAUAACAUGCAUUUAUAAUCCCACCAUUUGCUUUUAAUUACCACUAACACUAUGGCCUAUUUCCUUCAAAUAAUUUUCUCUUUUUAUACCCAUAUUUUGUAUAUAUUAUAAAACUAAAAUUAUACUACAUAUAAUAAUUCUAUAUCCUACUUUUCUCACUCAAUAUUUUGUCACAAACAUUUGGCUACGUGAUUAAGAAUUCUCUAUAAACAUAAUUUUACUUGCAACAUAAUAUAGAUAAACAGAAAUAAUUUGUUUGACGUUCAAUUAUUGUUGGAUAUUGAGGUUGUUUUCCAUUUUUAAAAAUAAUACCUAGAUCUAUGACAAAUAUUCCUAUGUAAAGAUCUUUGUUCCAUUUCUAGAAUGGAGAAUUUUGGGAUCAAAGGGAAAGAACCUGUUAAAGAUUUUUGAUAUUAUUUGCAAAUUAUUUUUAGAAAAGCUAAUUCAAUGUAUAUUCCUGGUAUAUAAGCCUGCCCACUCACUGUAUUCUUACCAUCACUGAACUCUGUGGUUUAAAAAAUACUUACUAAUUUUAUAGAUUAAAAAUAAUCUAUUAAUGAAAUUUUCUCACUGUGUUCAUGAAACUAUGAGGCAGAAACCAUGGUCUCACAAAACUCCAUACCAGUAAAUUCAAACCACACCAAUAAAGUGUUCAAUUUUAAUAUCAUAAUCUAAAACAUGAGUUUAAGCUCACAAAGUAUGAAAAAAUUUCUAACAAGAUUACUCCAAAGCAACAGGAAAGAUCUAAGCUAGUGAGGGUAGCCCAACAGAGUGAUGCUGAGCAUCAAGCCAUACAACCUGCUAGAGAUCUUAAGGACUCAUCAUAACUUGUUAGCUUUCUGUACAGGGCAGAGGGGAAAAGAAUAACAUGGGGAACACAAGCAAGCUACAGUCCAUCCACCCCUCUCCCUGCCAUUGAUGAAGAGAUGAACCAUAACCUAAAAUACAUUUUUCAAUUCAAAAGGCACCUGGAAACAAUUAUUCAACCUCCAGUGCCAUAUAAAAGAAGUGCACAAGUGUUUAGAGUAAACCAUGGUGCCCAAUGAAGAGGAGAACUGGGAAAAAUAAGUCAAAGGUUACAAUCCCCUUCCUUCUUAUGAUGAAUUUUAAUCUAGAUACCUGAAAACUAGGAUUAGGUAGAUUUUCACAAGGGCUGGGUCCUAUGAAUGAUUGGUUUAGACUGAGAUGAUGAGGGUGUGGCCCCACAGUACCAUAAGGGAGAGGCACACCGAAAUCAUGUUUGUGUGUGCAGAGGUUUCAAAUAGCAGGUGCCGUAUAUCCAGUACCUUCAUGAUCUUGGUUGGCCACCAGUAGAAACACAAAACAGAGAGUAAGCAGGGCAGACUGUGGCAGUGUCCAUUUCUGACACUAUCAAAGGGAGAGAGAAUCUUGGCUUAGGGACUCAAAGUCCCAUCAUCAAGGCUGAGCCCAUGGUGGACAUGCAGUCACCGUGCUCUCUUCUCUCUUCUGCCAUCCCUCCUUCCUCAAGUAUUUGAGUUCUUACAGAGUACAGGGUACUAUGCUAGAGAUUGGGGAUCGUGGUGAACAGGGUAGACAUAGGUCCUGCUCUCACAGAACUGAAAGAUAGUCAACAAUGGAGUAUAUAAAAUCUUUUCAUUAAAAUUGCAGUAUAUGCUUUAGUGAAAACACAGAGUAUGAGUGCUGGGCGCAUACCGUGGCUGUGCGGUUUCUUCUUAAAGUUUGGUCUCAGUUACCUUCUGAGAACCAUGGAAAGUGACUUUUAUCUACGUUACUACGUAAGUCACAAGGGCAAGUUCGGCCACGAGUUCCUGGAGUUUGAGUUCCGACCCGACAGGAAAUUGAGAUAUGCCAACAACAGCAAUUACAAAAAUGAUGUCAUGAUCAGAAAAGAGGCCUAUGUACAUAAAAGUGUGAUGGAGGAACUGAAGAGAAUAAUUGAUGACAGUGAAAUUACCAAAGAAGAUGAUGCUUUGUGGCCUCCACCUGACCGAGUGGGUCGGCAGGAGCUUGAAAUCGUCAUUGGAGAUGAACACAUUUCUUUCACAACAUCAAAAAUUGGUUCCCUUAUUGAUGUCAAUCAAUCCAAGGAUCCAGAAGGCUUACAAGUAUUUUAUUAUCUUGUCCAGGACCUGAAGUGUUUGGUCUUCAGUCUUAUUGGAUUACACUUCAAGAUUAAACCAAUCUAGGUUGAAUAUUGGUGUGGACAUGAGGGGGUGGAGUAGUUUUUAAUUACCUUUAACCAGGAAAUUUUUGUGUAUAUCAAGGCAAUAUUUUUAUAAGCUAUAAAUGAUUGUCUUUAAUAAAUACAUGAUAAAA